GGAGGAGGCAAGCGUUAUCCGGAAUUAUUGGGCGUAAAGCGUCCGCAGGUGGCUUCUCAAGUCGGCGGUGAAAGGCUGGGGCUUAACCCCAGACCAGCCGUGGAAACUGAGAAGCUAGAGUGCGGUAGGGGUAGAGGGAAUUCCCAGUGUAGCGGUGAAAUGCGUAGAGAUUGGGAAGAACACCGGUGGCGAAAGCGCUCUACUGGACCGCAACUGACACUCAGGGACGAAAGCUAGGGGAGCGAAAGGGAUUAGAUACCCCUGUAGUCCUAGCUGUAAACGAUGGAUACUAGGCGUGGCUGGUGAUCACUCCAGCCGUGCCGAAGCCAACGCGUUAAGUAUCCCGCCUGGGGAGUACGUGCGCAAGCAUG
Molecule: ribosomal RNA, 371 nt
Filed under: uncultured bacterium
Lineage: Bacteria
Description: bacterial SSU rRNA
Rfam family: Bacterial small subunit ribosomal RNA
Source: RNAcentral